GAGUCCGUUGCUAUCUUUGGUUAUCUAGCUGUAUGAGUGUUAAUCAGCCGUCAUAAAGCUAGAUAACCGAAAGUAGAAAUGUCUUCCGAGCCCUGCGCUUCUCUCGAGGUGGAAUCAAGACACAAUAUGAUCGGAUGGCGCUUUGGAAAUAAAAGAAAUAACCGCGAACAGCUGACAAGCCACACAGCCACCUGCUUCACCCACAUUCGCAGGACAGAUCCAGUGCCUUCAUUCCUGAAAUGGCUUUUGAGAAGUCUACUGCUCCAUAAAGAAUAACCCUUUAAGACCAGCGACUGCCCGCUAUUCCCACCAUGUCUUGAUGGCAGGAAAAAAAAUGGCAUAAUCGUCAAAAAAAAAAAGAAAAGAGGGAGAGAAUGGUGAACCCAUAUCCCCCUCUCUUUAGCCCCCCACCCCUGGGAGCCUUUAAUGCCAUCUGUGCCCUCCUUAAAAAAUAAAUUAAAAAAACACAUACACACAAGAAAAGCAAGAGACUUCCACCCGGUGCCAACGGGGACAAAGGAGCUGCCAGUCGUCGUGGUCCCCCCACCCCCACCCCCACCCCCACCCCCACCCUGCCAGACACCGGGGAACAGGAUGACUGAGUGUGGGUGUGCUCAGGAAGCCAUCUUGAUGGGAAAUCUCACUGCUGCUGCUGCUGCUGCCGCUGCUGCCGCCGCUGCUGCUGCUGCUAAAUGCUCCUAAAAUGGCUGUGUGGGCAUGAGGUGGGUUGCAUCCUUGCCUUCUUUCAGCACUGGCUUUUUCCAUCUCUCUCACAUUGUGCCUUCUUCUCCCCUUUGUUUUUGUUCUCUCGAAUUUUGUCCCUGCUUUCUUUCGUUAAUUACCACGGUGGGUUUUGGGGAAAUUCUAAUUAAACUAAGGAGAACGGGCGACACGAAGACCUGCUGCGACCCCAAUUGUUUCCCCCCGUUCAACACACGACCGUUCCUCCUUUAUUCUGUCUGCCCAAGGACUGAGGAUGCUGCUGUUAUCCAGGAGGGUGAGCAGCUUGCUGGAUUGGAUGAGCUGCAAAAGCUAUCAUUUAACCACUGUAAGCAGACCAGAACAUCUCUGAAGACCAGGAUGGACUGGCACUGUGGAAUCUCAACUCGUGAUAUGAGAAAUAUUCGAUGACCGUGGCAUUCUAUAAAGCUGCUGGGACUGCCUGCAACACAUAAACAGAAAUCUUUACUUCUGAGAGACAAGCACCACUGAGGACUUUACAGGUUUAUUUGUGUCUUCAACUGACACGAUUCCCUGUGGAAACUGAAGCCCAACAGUCAGCUCUGUCUGUCACUUCCUGAGUGUGUCACAGUUCUAUAAAUAAACAGCUGGUGAUGUAGGACACCGGGACUCUGGCUCCUUGUCCGGCACAGAUAAUAAACACCAUCUAGUCUUAAAAUGGUCCUGUUGCAAUCAGAAAAAUUCAUGUGCAUGAUUAUGAAAAUCUGUGUGAUUUUUGUGGCGCUGAACUGGCAUUUCUACUAGUUCAUUAACUCACACAGUGUGUGCAUGCUCUUCAGUGUAUCACAGUCUACGAACUUUUGAUGUGUAAACUGGAAUUUGUCUGAAAAAUCUUAAAAGAAGUUUAAAUCUUUUUUGGUCAACUUAUAUUGCUGUCUAUAAUAUAAUGGGAAGUCCUGUGCAAAUAUGAGAUAUGGUAUGCUCCUCCUUUGCGUUAUAAUACAAAGCGUAAGUUGUGCAUGAAAAUGAUUACUUUUAAAUGACAUUAAAAGUUUUUAGUCACAAACAGAUGUUGUUCACAAUUAUACUGCCAGUACUGAUACAAAAUAGCCUCAUAUUAAAUAAAAUUGACAAUAACUUUAUUUUCUUGUCUUCAUAAUUCUGUUUACUUGUAUUCCUUUAUUAUGAGGUUCUCUCAAACCCGAGAAUGCAAGGGAGUUACUUUAAAUCGAAAAGCACUGAUGUUGUAACCCUAUAGACUACUAGCUGCUCAUGUUCGAAGUCCAGAGCUACAUCAUCCUAUAAUCUGCCUUUCAGUGUCCCGGAUACUGGAGAUGCCAGUAACAAUAGAACAAUAUUAGCAGUUUCAGUGUUUCACAUGAAGACCUUAUAGGCUGAAACAUACUUUGAACUGUGUAUGAUAUAGACUGUGUAUACUAUGUAAGUGUGACUCAGAGCUACGUUAGUCGCCUUGUCGUUACAUUUUAUUCCCUUCUGUGGACAAGCUGUGUUUGCAAUAGAUUCUAUACACAAUUCUAUACAUAAAGUUUGGUAGUAAAAAUGUUAUCACUUGACUGUUAGUACUAUUUAAGUGUUAUUUUUACUGUUAGAAAUAUUAUUUCUUUCUCAAGCUACUCCUAAGGUUCAAUAUUUAGUUCUGAGUACAUUUGGAAAUAGAAUAUGCCCUGUCUCAGUUGUGUGCAAUUUCAAGUUCCAAUUUGAAACAACAACAUAAAUAUCUGUUUCUGAUGACAUACUGAAAAUAAAUUUUCAACAUUAACAGAAUUUAUUCACUGUUUCACUGAGAA
Molecule: long non-coding RNA, 2489 nt
Organism: Scleropages formosus (Asian bonytongue)
Lineage: Eukaryota; Metazoa; Chordata; Actinopteri; Osteoglossiformes; Osteoglossidae
Exons: 4
Source: RefSeq, a predicted model, not a curated record